UUUCCAGGCUCAUGUAUAUUAGUUUGUGUAUUAGAUUAUCCAAACUGCUUCUUUCUCGAAAACAGCGCCAGCAUAAAAACCCUUGACUAGUAUCUUUGAAUCUGAUAAAGAAGCAACAAUUGUCAAUGAGACAAUGGAAGUCAGGAACCUUAUAGUUGAGGGAACUGCAGAUGAGCCUGCAAUGGCAUUGGAACCAGGACUAGGCGACUAGCUCCCAUUUCUUCUUCAUUCCAAAGACCAAGAUUCUACUACCUCAAUACAACCUAUUGCACCUCCUUUAACCAUGGCGUAGAUUCCUCCCCUCUCAUAUAAUUCUGCUGAAUCUCAUCCUCUCACUACAACAUCUUUGCCAACUUCUCCAGCAGAUAUUUCCAACACUUAUUUGGCCCUUUUAGUAGCUCCACAACCCUCUUUUCAAGCUUCUGCCAGAAGCCUUGCUAGCUCUGUACCUUCAGCCAACUAGAGAGUGAGGCACUACUCAAGUUUCAUUCUCGGCUAUAGAUGAUGCAAGGAUCUUCAUUGCAAAACAUGAGAGUAUGCUUGACGACUCUCUUGAGGUUCUACCAGGGUGUUCACAGCAGCCAACGGUAAGUAGUCAUGAGAUAAACGAUGCGAAGGAGUUUAUCCGUCGCUGCUGUCUCAUGGAUUUGAGCAUCUCACUUGUCAAAAUCAAAGGGAUAAGUUUCUUUCAUCCCUUAUGUUGUUGAUGAGCAUUGACUACUUCACCAUAUAUAUGCUUGACACGGUUUUGAGCUUCCGUAUGCUAAGUGUUUGAAGAGACAUUUACAUACUCUCAAUGUCAAUAGAGUAUUCGGGAGAUUGAAAAUGUUAAAGAACAAGUAACCACUCUGAAGGAAGAAUUGUCAAGCAAACACAGCCAAUUUGUCCAACUUAUGAGAGAUAUUAAGGUUGCAACUAAGGAGAAAGAGGAGCUAAGAAAGCAACUUCAGCAGAAAAAUAAAUGCAUUGCUUCUUUAGAGGAACAAGACAGGAUUCUUGUGGAAUCACCAAGAACAUCCAACAAUGCUUUGAGUCAAUAUCAUGAAUGCGAUAACAUCAUCAAUGGCAUUGAUGCCUCUUGGGAUAACUUCAGAACGGGGAUCGCAGAGCUAAUUUGAGACUAAUACCAUACUUUUCAAGUUGUAUCCAGAAAAAAUUAUCAUUAUCAUCUUACGCAGUAUUACGUGUCAUUUACACUAUGCAUUACUUUGGAAUUAGAAUCUUCAGAUUCUCAUCCAAGAAUUUAAUGCUUUCUUUUACAAUAGGAACUGU
This is a long non-coding RNA of Pistacia vera, 1272 nucleotides long. RefSeq lists it as uncharacterized. The record is from RefSeq and is a predicted model, not a curated record. The transcript has 4 exons. NCBI's taxonomy places the organism in Eukaryota, Viridiplantae, Streptophyta, Magnoliopsida, Sapindales, Anacardiaceae.